CCCCCACCCACCCCCUCACACACACACACACACACACACACACACACCCUUAUCUGUCAAUGCUGCUUAAAUAAUGUAAUUAAUGACUUAAUUAACAUUUCCAUAAUCUAUUUUAAUAAAUCUAACACGGCAUAAUGAGAGUUUCUAACCUCCAGGCAAUGGCAUAUACAAAUUCACAGUGCAGAGCCGCGUGGUCAGGGCCCUGUCGCAGCGCCCCCAACGCUCACUGUCACAGUGAGGGAAGGAGAGGGCACAUGUUGUGUGACAGCCUUCCGAAAGGCAGUUCAAGCCUGACAAAUGUCAUGUGACUUUGUGAAUGUGUCCACUAACAGACCUGCAGCACGACGAUGAGGGCAAAAAAAAAAAAGAGAGAGAAAAGAGAUGAAUUUGAAGGUUCAAAAUGUUGAAAGCGAGCCGGGGUGCAAUGGAUGGAAAUGAGAAGGAAACGGUCUGUAAGUAGACAGCGAGGGCGAACCAAUGAUUUCAGUGGGUUUCCUUUUACGGUCAUUUCAUAGCUUUUAGCAUGAGAACUCAAAGCUGCUGUACCCUUUGCUUCUUCUGUUAAAAUGUAAAAUGUCUUUAUAAUGGCAGGGCAAAAGAAACAGCUUUCCUUUUGAACAGAUGAAGCGUUGAAGGGUGAAUAUUUACAGCAGCAGACUGUCUCUGCAUAAAUACCCAUUAACUCCUGUGCUGCCUUCAUGGAAAGGAAACAUUUCACCCACACAAACAACAAUUAGUAGGACGAUGUAGUCUUUGCAUUCUCCUCUCUUCGUGGAAUAUUCAUAUUGCUAAUAUUGCUAAUACAAAUUAGCAAAAUGCUCAUUACUUUUAUUUCUUGAUGUUGAAAAGAUCCUUACUUAAUAUGUUCCAUCUAAUGAUAUACUCAGAACUGACCUAUGGUGACAAAAAUUUGACAACUUAAUUGCUUUGCAGCAAACAAAACUUGUAUCUGAAGGUCUGUAGCCAUGGCAACUGACAACAGGUAAUGGAGGCUCGUUCACUGCGAGGCCAGCGAAAGGCUCUCGGCCCUGCCAAUAGUCUGGCAUUAUUUCAUGUUACCGCUUCAUCAACAGUCGGCGUAAAUGAGCGAAUGAGUGCACGUUCACCGCAGGAAAAAGGUCAUCGCGAUGUGUUUACUGGCUAAUCUUUGUCUCGUUCCCGUCUCAGAGACAACCAGGCCCAGCGCGGGGAGAGGGACAAGGGGGUUGCUCCUCACAAGGACCUCCACCCCUGGGGUGAAGAGUGACUCAGAUUCACCCUGACAGGGGGCAGCAGGAGGCUGGCACAUGCAAGGCAGCACAAGCACCACGGGGCACCGAUCUCUGAGGCCAAUCAAUCCUAAUAAGGACACCCGCCAACCUUCCACUUGCACCAGUAAUAAUGAAAGCGUCAGUGGACAGAAAACCUGUUCAGUGCAGCGGGACACCUCCAGUGUUUCAUAAUGAUACAGCAGAUCUGGGCUACGGUUUUAAUGUAAUGAAAGGGAUGAUUCAUGCACAGGAACAACGUGUUAGCGUUCUAACAGUACGGCAGUUCGCAUGACAGCAUAUGUGAACCUCUUUCAACUCGAUACCUGCAGCCAAGUUCAGCCAAGAAUGUUGCUGCAGCGUCUGAAGCUGCUGAACGUGUUGUAAACAAACCAAUUUCCUGUCAUAAAAUUACAGCUCAUUACUAGCGUGGACGUGGGCUUCUACAACAUAAUGAUGCAGAAGCACAUUACCAGCGCAACCAUAUUUAUUAAUUGCCAGUUCACUCGCCACAUUCCUUGGAAAGGCGCUUGAUUGGGGGGGGGAAAAAAAAGUUACGAGGCUUGUUGAGUUAAUUACAAACAGCCUCUCUUAUGUUAGUUAAUCCUGGAGAAAGGACUGCAGCAGAGCGCCGCGUUUUCAUUUCGCUGCUCGCACAUUAACCAGUUUAAAUUGAUUGGAGGAUUACAUCACUUUUACUACUCCAAUUAUUAUUUACAAUUAUUUGUUUUAAGCCGGGCAGCUUUUCUAAAUCCCGUCAUUCAGUUGACUAUGGCCGGUCAAUAUGUCGCAUUCGUUUUUACAAUCCACUCGCUAUUCUUCAGACAUGUGCAGCCUGAUUGGUGCGCUGCUUUAGGUAAUUACAGAUUACGUAACCGGUAUUUGUAAUCUGAUUACAGUGACCGCCAUAUGUCGCUUUCUGAUGACAGGGUGGAUAUUGUUUAUGCCAGGAAUCUUUUUUACUGGAUGUUGAUACAAACAGACUGUUCAUUUACUAAUGGUUUUCAGUACCACAGGCAUCUUUCCAAUUAGCAAUAUGGAAAUGGCGAAGCAGGGGCGGGGGUCGGACAACAGCGUGUUCUUAGAGAUGAUCAUUUAGACGACACCGACACUUGAAACUGACAUCAAGUUGCAAUUAAAUGUUGCAGAUUAAAAACACUUCUAGGACCGCAGACACAACCAGAGGAGAGAGACCGUGACCAUCAUUUGAAUUAUUAAUGUUCACCAACAUCAGACUUUCAAUCCACCAGAAGAGCGGCUCAAACACAAGCGUGAAAAACAAACAAACCACUCACUUGAUCAGCAGGAUCUCUGCCAGCAGACCAUAAGCAGCGGCUGCCACUUUGAAGGUGGUGGGCGGAGGAGGCCUGGUGAAGGCAGUCAUCAUGCAGUGAACUACAUAAGGUACCAGACCCAUUAAAGCCAAGCCGGUGAUCAGCAUCAGCCACGUCUGCCACUGGGAGCUCACCGAGCGCCAUGGAGAGGUCCUCUGCAGCUGGUACUGGACAAGAGAGAGAAGUACCAUGACUUUAGCGCGCAGACACACCGCUGUGUCCAACCACUGAGAAAUCCAACAGUUGGAGAUUGAUGAAUUUAAUAAAAAAAGGUCCAAAGCCGCAAGCUGUAGAGGACGGAUGGUGUCGACAUGGCCUGCAGGUGUCGACGGCCCUUUUAAGAUAAACCUGGAGAAGGUUGGUGAUCCUCUGACCUUCCGUCUAGCACCACCAUAAGGUCCAAAAAGAUUUGUGUCCAAUAUGCGGAUUCAUGGCCAAAUGCCGGCAAAACUCCUCUGUGUUAAGUGGUGGUCAUGACCAAAUGUUAGCAUGCUAAACUACAAGGGUGACUAUGGUAAGGAUUAUCUGCCACACUUCUUUUUCUUUCUGUAAAUUGAUUCACAAGAAGCUGUAGAGCCGUGUCAGUCCAACCUGUGGUGCUUGUGAUCACACCCGGUGUUGAAGCGGCAGGCAUUUAUAGGUCUGGAUCUCCGCUAUGUAGCCUUAUUAACUUCUUGUUAAAACCUUUAUGAGGUGUGAAAAGACUUAACCUACUCAUUGUCUUUGUGUCAUAAACAUGAGAAGAGUGGAUCACACUCAUCUCAUCUCGACCAGGUUGUAGUUAUUAAAGGUGGGGUUGGUCAUCCUGUUCAAAGUUUAUUUUGGAUAUUUGUUCAAAUCCCAAUAACAUCCUGACAGCAAUUAAUCAACCAAAUCCUUUGACAAAAAAAAAGAGGGUGAAACGAGGUUGAGAAUCUGUGGCCGUCGUCGGGCUGUAACAGGCCCGUCUCAUCAUUGCAACUGACCCGAAUGUAAUGAUUGGACUGUGCAUGUUCUGCCCUGCGGUCAUCGCUGUUCACAAGUCUCCCACAAGCUGCACCAACAACGGCCCCUCUCAAAAUCUACCACACUCAAGCAUGUUUCUCAAGAUGCCCACACUUUGCUUUGAAUUAAUGGUCUAAUGCACGAGUUUCUCACUCGUUUGUUUUAAAAGUCUUCACUCUAUGGUGACACAAACUAGUUUAGUUGGUUUUAAAAUAAUCAAUAACACGCUGAGCUACCAGGGCAACGAGUGAACCAGGACACACUUUUUCCUGGUAACUGUAAUGUGAACCCAUAGUGGAGAGAAAACAAACCCCUUUGUUGGAAUAAACUCAUUAAUACAACCUCACACCUGUUCUAAACAUCCACAGCUCUUUUGUUACCUGCGAAUUGGCACUUAAAACAAACAGACAUAGAAGAAACGUUCACACUGACGCAUACAUGACAACAAUGGAGGAUGUGUGCUGUCAUGGAGCCGGUAUGCAAACAUUGCCUUAAGUCCUCUCCAAAUAUCCCUUCGCUCUGGAGGCAAAAUAAACCACUUGAAGAGCGUUUGAUUAGUGUCUGGAAUUCAUCCGCAAAUGCACACUUGCCCUCUUUCAUGGCUGCUAUUCAUUAAUUAGAUUCUUUGUGCAACUGAGCUAUCCUCAAUGUUUAAGGUUACAUCAGGCCUCAGUAAGUGGCUGCCUGAUAACACAAUGCAUCCAUCUUCAUUACUAAGCGCUUUCUGUCUAGGCUCGCUCCUCCACAAGUGAGCUAUGUCAGUAGGCUCAGAGGAACUCAUACAUUUCUUUGCAUUCAGAUUGUGAACUUUUGCCUCCUUUGAUUUAAGUCGCCCUGAUUAAAUGAUUAGGUUGUGGUUUCCCCUCGUAUCGGGUUCCUUUGUGGUGAUUUUUCCCUUCACGGGGUGGAAUAGUGGUGCGGCCAAAUGAAAACCAAACAGCUCGGUGUGUUCUUAGAUUAUAAACUAUCUUCAUGAAUGCAUUGAAGGGAUUGUCACAUAAACAGUGCAGCCAAGGAAUCUGUAAAUACUGUGUUAAUGUCACAUUCCAUCCUGUUCUAUUGAAUCCAUCGGGAUUUAGCCAUUGUUGCCAAUUAAAGCCAAGUAAAGUAAAACUGGCUCUUUUUCAUUUCAGACACUGGCCAUAUGUGUAAAAUAAAUAGAUUUCAAUGGAUUUAGAACCUGGGAUGUAAUAAUUCAGAUAAGAUUAAAUUUGAAAUUAUAUUUCUACCAAAGGAAUCAUCAGAAUGCACACUAGUUUCUUUUGUCCAUGUAACCGUAGUCCUUUCUUUCUGCCAAAAAGAAGCCCAGACAUUCAGACAAACCGAAACACGCGUAUUCAAUUCGAGAGGGAAUAUGAAAAGACACCCAAGGCCAUAAAGUCGCAAAUGUGUUGCCACACAGUGAAGGUUUUCUGUUAUUUACACAUGGACCCUGAUGACCCAAGCUAGCCAGGAGGGACUGACUGUCGGAUAGGACUUACGGCAUCUCAAUUGUCUCUUCAAGGCUCUGACGGUGAGCCGGCAGCUAACAAUUCUAACAAUGCAAGUUAUGGCGGGAGUGGAACAGUGCUAACAUUAUUUGACAGCGGCUGCUGAAGGAAGCUUCCAUGAGGACACUACAUAGCUGCCAAAGCUUUUCUGUGUUUUCACAAGCAUUCACGCCACACCUCCAAUUUCUCACGAAAAAAAAUAAAUCUGAUUUUGGGCCGAGACGCGUUGGUAGGUGGCGCUAAGGAGCGCAUCUGUUACCCUGUUCGCUGCAAAGACAUCUUCCUCAUCGCGAAGUUAGCGACAGAAGAAGAGUUCAAAAGCGGGAAGAAAAAUCCAUCUGAGCGGAGACCAAGUAUGUUAAUGGCACGUGGUUCAAUUAAGAACUCACGCCCUUAAACUUUAAAUCUUGAAAGCAAUUAUUUGUUUGUGUUUGUGCGUGUGAACUGUGUGCGUUGAAUGUAAACUCAGCGGUCACAAGCAGCAGCAGCAGCAGCCACCUUGUUAAGCUGGUGGUGCACCGCAUGCUCAGAACACCAUAGCGUUGUUUAUUUAGGCUGCUCACAUUAUCUUAUUAUUAACAGGCCAAAGGAAAGGACUCACUCUGAAGACUUCUCCAAACAGGGACCUCAGAAAAUGACAAACCAGUUUCUGAUCUGCGUCUCAUACCUUCUUUUAAGUUAUUUCAUGUGUUGAUCACAAAAAAAUGCUACUGUGUAAGCACUUUAUUUGUUGCACCUUUUUGUUUGAUGGGUUUGAACGUGUGGUGGGAGGCUUGAAUAAUCAAAAAUAUUUCUCCCUAACUAAUCAUGUGCUAUUUUUGCUGAACAUAAAUCAUUAAGUGCUCUUAAGAAUACAAUUAACAAUAUAGGUUAGGUUUCAAUUAAGAAUUGGUUGAAUACCAUUGUAAUCAAAAUUUCCAUCACCCUACCUCGGUCAAAUCUCAAACACAGGUCUAUUAAUUAGGCUUUACUGUGGCGCAUAGACAGUCAUUGAGGCACAACAAUAGUUUUCUGGUUGAAUGUUCAGCUCAAGUGUAGAAGGCCCCACAAGUCAAGAGCAGAUGAAAAUGAAUCAGAAUAAGUUCAGGCAUACCCCCCAAAAAAUCCACUAUAAUGCAGGAAAUCAAGACCAAAAUGUCCUGUGGGUGGACCUCCAGCUGUGUCUUUGCUUCACAGAAUGUAACCAAUGUUGUCCAUCUCCAGUAGGCCGCCGCUAUCGACGACUUUGGGCCCCACAAACCACCAGAUUGCAGGGCACAACAUGGCUACAACGCCAAAUUAAUUCCGAUCCCCGCAUUUUUGAGCCACCAACGUGUGUGGCUGCGUGCGCGGUAAAGUUUUGGUCCCUCCCUUUGGUCCCGUCUCACACCAAGGUUUUGUGAAAAGUUGGCAGCUGUGACACUAACGUGUGUGGGAGCGGUGCCUUGCUAGCCUGUGGAUCUGCUAACAUGCUAACAUGCGCUACGAGCACAAACCAAAUGUGAGUCAACAAAGCAAGAAGAAGCUUCAAAAUCACAGAGGGACUUGCUCAGGUAGACAUUACGCCACUAUAGCUUUACAUAACUAAUAGUUGUUUGAUUCUAUAUCGCUGCUCCUUUAAGGUUCGGUCCACAGCCAUUGAAAACCUCUUUGGUGACAACCCUGAAAAGGCUAAUUGAAUAGAAGCUGUUAGCGUCACAUCUAUUAAAGCCACCGCGGCCUUUAGUCAUAUCAAGGCCAGAGCCUGUUUGAAUCAGGUUAAAAGCGGCUCAAUAUGUUCUUUGUAUUCCCUCAGCCAAAGGAACUAUCGGUGGAGGGGCUGAGUAAAGCAGCCGUGAGGAGACGGGCCGCUGCAUCUGUCUUGUGUCCGUGUGACUCGGCGUGGAAUGUCUUCAGGGCUUUAGUGUUUUGGAGGCCAGCGGUUCAGAGGGAGAGAAGACACAAUAGUCCAUCUAUUCCCUAAAGAGAAGCAUGAUUAAAGACACGCUGUAUGAAGAUAUGUUUCACAGGCCUGGCAGACCUGCUCGCCCCUUUGUGAGGAACAGCAAAUUACAUUUCCUCAGCAACUAAUCUUACAUUCAAAUAACACGUGGUAAUCCAAACAGUAGGCUGAGAAGCAAAGCUAUAACUUAAAAAGUCAACACGCAGCGCAUUAACCACCGGUUAAAAAUCACAGUGUGUUAAUUACAUCCUGAUGUUUUAUGACUAUGACCUUUAAACACCAUACCGAUCAAUCAAUACAGGAGGGAAGCAGCCUAUUGGGAAUAGUUUGAUCCGCAGAAUUUGAAAGUAGGGCACUGUUUUAUCCAAACACAAUCAUUAUUAAUAGCCGGACAGUCAACCCAAAUACAUGUUCUGCAUAUUUUCCACAUUAUCCCCUCUUCCUUAAGGAGUACAAACACAACACAUGGUCCAGCAUGGAGAUCAUUAAUUAACCAGGUCACACUGCUACUGCAAAGCGGACAAAUACAAUAAUAUCCUUAUAAAGGCACGGUCACACGGCCAUUUUAAUGACUACAACAUAUUCUCAGAUUUAUCAAAAUCAAAUAAGAAAAAGCUUGUAUUGUUUUCAGAUGUAAUGCCCGAGGUGGAGCAAUGUCCUCUGUUACUUUGGUGACAAACUUUAGUUUUGGAGCAGUUUACAGUGAUAACAGAGGCACAUUCGAUGCUCGAUAUUUCAGAGGACGUUUUGGAAACAAUGUGUGCUUGUGUUCAGACUAAAGUAGACCAAAACAGGCCCGUCGUGUUCAACAAGUUGGCUUCACUUCCAUCCGUCUGAAAGUCGAGCUGUUCCUGGAUUCAGCUGCUGCUAUUUAAAUAAACAAAGUUAGCUCUUUGAGUGGAAAUGCUGAUCAGCCUAAAUUUCCAAUGUUUUCAGCGGACUCAAACCGAACAUGAAAACCCUUGAAAACAGGACAUCGUGCUCAGUAACUGCUGGAAUGAAGCGCAGAAGUUAGAUUUUGAAUCAAUAACUUCAGGGAGGAUUCUCGCAUAGUUUAUUGCACGCUUUGUCAUUUUGGGUUAGCGUGACUGUGCCAAUAACAGAGGGCCGUCUCCUGUCGGCGGGGAGGAACAAUUCGUAUUUAUCGUUUUCUCGUUUCUGCUUCUUUGUCAUUUUUACCCAACAAACAAAGCUUCAAAAUAUGUGUAUUGUCCCUGUAACCAAAUACGAUGGUCUUUGACGUGAAGUUGACACUUUCUUCACAUGCCGUCUUUUUCUUUUUUCAUCAAAAAUGAAUUCCAGUACAUAAAAGACUCCCCGUUUGAACCUGAUUGCUACGCUAAUCAUUAAACAUUCAGUGUUAAGUGACACUUUGCAAAAUGUCAAUUCCACCUUUGGAUGCCAAAUCCGGGGGAACAUCUGCGCACGUUUCCUGGUGCCGGUGGACUGUGGCCUUCAGACGUUUUAGAUGUUUUUCCAUUAAGCUAAAGGGGGAAAUACAUUUACUAUAGGCUGCUAAAAAGCUUACCAAGGAACUGUACCACGUAUACCUACAACGCUUGAAGAUCUGGAUUGCUUUUUGCUGAAUUCAGUGCUGAGUAACCUUUAACUGGCCGUUAUCGGCGUAUUGACAAUCUUUAGUUAGAUCUCCUAAUUUAAGUCGCAACACACAUUAACUGUGUGAUGUGGAGAUGCCCGGCAGCUCCGGAGACAGUCUCCCCUGUGCACGCUGCUUGUUUGCUGACAACAGGGAUGAAGUUCUACUUAGCAGGACCGGACUGGAAAGUCUAUUAACUUAUUGAGAUUAAGAGCCUGAUGCCUUCCCUCCCACCCGACCCUCCGUGGCCCCCCUCCCCCGACCGGCAGCACACCUCCAAAGGAGAAAGGUGAUUGAUGAGAGCCAUCAGGCGGCCUGGAAUCUCUUCUCUCAUUAGACUCCUCGUGCCUCUAGCUGUUUCAACACACACACACACACACACACACACACGCACACACACACACAGGGAGAGCAUGGCGGCGUUGUCCAUUCCUCUAACUUUUUAGAAGAUAAGUAUUCACACUAAAAUAUUUACCUCGAACAUUAAUCUCUGGGGAGUUAAUUUUCCAUUAUACUUUUUCUCUGAGAAAUAAAAGAACUUUUUUUAAUGCCUGUGGUUUCCACUCCCUACUCUCCUCUCCAUGCUCACUGAGCUUUCCCAUCUUUAGACGCACUCAUGGGACUGCUUGUAAAUGAACGUCCCGGGGGGGGUGGGGGGGGCUGUGUUUGGACAGUGGGGUGGAUCCUAUCCUCCACCGCUGAGGAGGCUUGGCUUGAGUGGUGGAAAGGAAAGAAGGUUACAUAUGCAUAUCCCUAAAGCAGACAUGAUCAAUCACAUUAAUGCGAGCGCAGCACAUUAUUAGUAGCAUUACUAUAAUGUGCUGCUGAUUGCACCGCUGCAAACCAAGUGGGGCCCAAUCUGUCCAGAUAAAUAACCUCAAUGUACCCAAGGCCAGAUCCAAGAUAAAUAGUCAGAGUUAAUAGAGUCAAUUCCUUCUCCAGUACCAAUGUAGAUUUGUUUUAACUCAACUUUAAAACGUUUUUUUGAGCCAGUAAUUAGGAUAAAUUACACGAAUUAAAUAAUGCAGUGUUAAUAAGGAACAACCACGGGUAUAAAGUGGAAAUCUUUCCCUUCGCCCCUCCGUCAAACAGCGAUGCGUCCAAAUCAUCGCAAUGUGAGCAAGACUCAAGACAAAACGGAUGGAUCCAACUUCUAAAAAGCUGCAAACGUUAUCAUGUCCAACUAACUGGUUUACUACCCAACAUAGAAUAUCUUAUGAAGGCAGAAUAUGUUUAGCAUCCGAAGGGUUCUGGUCUCCGUUUAUGGUCCGAGCAGUACUGACCAAUCACGUUAGAGCGCGCCUUGCUGGCACAGCGUGUGUCACAGCACGAGAGAGUCGCCUCGACGCACAUGUAAUCCCUGAAGUAUCCGUGUUUGUGCGGAACAGUUGCUGGUCGGACUGAGCCGAUGGGGACGGCCAAACUGGUGCCGAGCGUCAGCGGACACCGAACGCUCGUCUCCGCGGAGUAAAGAUGAGCAGCCUGCGUUUGUCUCGCUGGGUGGCGAAUCGGCCCUGUUCUCCAUGUGUUAUCGCUGUCACCUGCCUUUGUGGGAAAAGGCGAGCUCGAGGAGAGUAGAGGCUGAAACUUGGCUGGCGCCUUUGCAGUGAAGUGUAAGACGGUGUGAGAGGAUGUGCGUGAGUGGGAACGACACAGAAUGCCUUGUCUGGGAGCAUUCGUGGGUCCGAGGGGGGGGAGAGACACACUGCUGGCCUAUGAAGGGUGGGGUUUUGGUCAUCUGCCAUCGGAUAAGAUAUCCUGACAAGGCAAUCAAAGAGAAACAAAUCCUGCAGCCACACAGGUUCAACCCUCUCGUUCCUCACCCUGAUGAGCUUUUGAAAAAUGGAGUGCGGUUGGAAUUGGUUUUGUAUGAGAGGCUUCAGAUCUGUCUCUUGUCAGGAUUAUUGCCACCCGUCUUCAUUGGGCUGCAAAGGUCCGUUAAUUAAUCUGCCUCUCCGUCUUAGUGGCCGGAGAACAAAGUGCCGCCAACCCUCUUCAGGCCUGGCGUGUACUUCCCGGCAAAUACACACCGACUCCAGGAUACGACUGCUUUGAUGUUAAGCAACAUCCCUAAUCAGUAUCAUUAAAACACUACAUCAUGUCCUUCCUCUCUAAUUUUAUGAGUGGAGCUAUUUAAUUGGAUAUUUAAUCUAAUUUAGUUAAUGAAAGUCCUGGGAAAUUUACUUUGAGGGACAGUGAUAUCUCUUGUGAUCAAUGAAGCUGCAAAUAGAGCUCCUCAGAGAUCCUCCACUGACUGAUUAGUGCGGCAUUUACAUAAAUACAGUUAAAAAAAUAAAAGCGCUGCUGCGACAGAAAAUGUGUGCUCUACUCCAUAGGAAGGUUAUCCCAGAUAAAACACGUCAGCUGAUAUCAUUAAAAGCCAGAGCGCCGGCAUGCGAUCCGCCAUUGAUUAAUAGGACAUGGUGAGAUUAAUACGCUGCUGGAUAUCCAAACCAAGCUCAUCAGAGCAAACGUGUCACCACACAACCGUCAGCUGUGAGGCUGCUGCUGCUGCUGUUGGGAAGCGUCCGGCCGGACGACAGAAACAACAACAAUGAAAGAGCAGCUCUCGACGGACGUCUUUCUUCUGCUUGCAGGAGCGUCCCGCGGGAGCUCGCCACUGGCACCGGACCGCGCACGGUGUCAGGUUGAUCGAGCGGGGGUCGUCUGCUGCAGAGUGUCUGCACCUGUGCAUUCCUCCGAGGCCUCAGAUCCCAGCGACUCUUCAAGGGAAGCCUGAACUUGGCCCGCUGUUUGCGGCUCGGGCGUCCCCGGGCCUGCCCUAACCGAGAGCAGCCUGCGCUGUGUGCACACACACACACACACACUCCUGUCACUCUGCGCUGGUGCUUGGGAAUGUAAACCGCCGGUGUCACAGCGGUGCGGUGCACGUGUUUGUUUUCCCGCUGCAGGUGCAGGUGCAGGUCGGGGGCGCAGCGUUGGAGUGCACGCCAAGUUACAACAUGCGAAUGCUUGGAAAGACAAGCGGUUUCUUGGACUCGACCACGUGCGCAAUGAAAGUUCCUUCCUGCACGAGUCUGAACAAAGAGGCAAUCAGAUAGUGUGCUUUCCCCCCCCCCCCCCCCCUCCUCGCCCCCCGAAUGCAGGCCAAGGUAUUCUCAAUCAACAUAUGUUUGAUUAAAGUAAAAAUGAGCUGUUGUUUCUCCAAGGACAUCUUCUCACGUGAAGAAUACUUUUUCAUUUAGCAGACGCUUGAAUGCAGAGCGUCGCCGCCCACAGGUAUAAUCAGCCAGAAAAUGAAUAAUCGUUCUGCAGGACAAUAAUAAAUCACUGUGCUUUGGACAAUUAAUAACGGAGGCGAAGCUCGGGAUGUCUGAUUACAAUAGUUACGAUGCAUAUCAUCAAGAUUUAGAUCUAACAUUUCACAAUGCAAUGUUAGACACCAGUGCACAUUACUGAUGUUUAAAUUUGGCAUUAGGGCGGGUCAGUGGGGGUUGAGGGAUGGUGCGUAUCUUCAUCUACAAGUCUAACUCAACUGCUGGUAGAAAAGUUGCAGGGCAGUACUUUUUGUAGCUCGACAUUUACAUUUGAUAAGCAGAGGAUUUACACGUACGCUUUGUGGAGCGAGUCGACUGAAACGUUCGAGCGCAUAACGUUGAGGAAGAGAACUAGUUUAAUAUCAUAAACAGGACAUUUUCAAAAAUGAGGGAUAUAUUUUCACGUUUGCAGUGGUCAUCCACAUCAAGGUAACAGGGAGGGACUGCUAAAAAAAAUACUAUAUAAUGCUUAAUAUUUGCUCUUAGAUUCAUUAAAGAAGCUUUAAUGAGGAUUAAUCCCUAAUAAAAUGUCUGAGGCUUGAUUUCAGUGCUACAUUUGAUCACAGGAAGUCUUUUUAAAUUGUCGAUUUUCUUAUUUAAGUACAUUCUGUCUCCUGAGGAAUUUGUUUAGGUCACUAUUUUUUAAUUUGUCUACGAGAAAGUCGAUUUAACAACGUUUACUGAUGACAUCACUACAUACAAACAAACAUCAUCAACAGCUCAGAAACACAUUUUAAAUAAUAAAUGAAUAAACUUUAAUAGAAUAUUCAUAACGCUUAAUUCAUUCUACUUAAAUUAUGCAACCCGUGUUUCUAAGCCCCUUGAGUCAAUGAUGUGUUUGCACCAACCUCUGCAGCACGAGUUAGUCAUGUUAAAAGCUUUGGGUUCGCCCUUUCAUCGACCACCUCGGCUCGCUGCGUCAUCUGAAAAUAAAGGGCAGAUGCACCAAAGCCCCUCAGAAUAAAACUCACCAAAUGCGUUGCCAUUUUCUUUUUAACUUUAACCCUUUGACCCCGGUGUGCAUCGCUGGCUGCACUCAGUCUGACAUGCAGAGUCACAGAAGAAGCGCGGCAGGGCGGCGGCGGUCGGCCUCGGUGAGUGGACAUAAACCGUCUCCUCCUGACAUGUGGUGGGAGGAGGACUCGUCUCGAGGCACACUCACUGAGGCGGCAGCUUGAUGAUCCCGGGCCGGUGAUUUAUUUAUCUUGGGCACGUUGUGAGGCUGUAAGAAUUUGGUGACGUUAGAAUCCUAAUUAAAACUGUUAAUCACCGAAUCCUGUUUGUUCAGCACAGCAGUGAAAUGAGAAAUGUGAUCAAAUUAUCCAUCGCUCCCUUUCAGACAGGUACGUCAGCACAGCCGAGACCGAAGGUUUUUCUUUCAAAGCUUAUGAAGACUUUAAUCCCCAGGUUUUCAUUUGUCAUACUCCGACAUUUUAGGCUGACAUCAACAACUCUAUCACCUGAUCAGUUUGGAUUCAUCUAUUUAUACAGACAUCCGGCGAAAUUGGACCCAGGCUUUCCAAUUAAUGCAAUGGAGCGGAUCAAAGUUUGUGUGCCACAAUACCACAGUACUGCCUCUAUUUGUUUUUUUACAAAGAUGAUGACGACAGAGUGUGGAAAUCUUAGUCCCGCUUGUUGAGACCCACACAGGUACAGUACGUAACCCAUGAUGUAAUGAACCUAAAGCCGUCUGAAAGGAAGAUCCAUGUAUCCUUUGAGUUGCUCUACAGAAAGGGGCACCGGGGAGCAUCGGGGGUCUUGAAGGUGAUACAGACGUAGUUGUUUCGCUGCCUGUCGUUGGGACCCUAUUAAAGUAAGGUGGACACCAGCAGGGGGUCCUAUAAUGCGUAAUAGCUGCCUGAUAUUAACAUAAAAUAAAUGGAUAUUCGCCUCAAUGUGUGCAGACACAGUGAAAAUCUCCGCCUCAGGUCAGACGAAAGGUGAAUAUUAGUCCAAUCUUAAAAGAAGAGAUUGUGUAAUGCGUGGCAUUAGUGACACGUGACUCAUGUUUUCAGUGGGAAUUUCAGAUGGAGGAAAACUGCAGUGCACGACGUAUUAGAGGGUUAGCGUGUAAAGAACGGGUUUGUCAGCACUUGUUCCUACACACAUUAUUCGACGUACGCGGUGGUCAGAAGCAACGGUUAAGUAUACACUGUGUAUGUACACAUCGAGCUCGCUACUCUUCAGCUGGAUUGGACCGGUGACAACUUUGAAAAUAUCACUGCUGGCCACGAAUCACCACAUCCGAGGAAGCAGUUCACAGACGAACUGUGGAUCCUCCGGGGGAACUUCCUGCUUAAUGGAUAAUAAUGAAGAAUGGGAGGGUCGCUGUAAAUGAAUUGUGUCCUACUUCCCCAAAGGAACAAGGCAACAGUAAAACUGUGCAGGCUGCUACUUGUCAAAGUCCCCGUCAGCUGGGCAGUGAGGGACACGGGGGCCCGAGGCAGCGCCCUGAGAUAGAAAGCAUUACGCCAUGUCACGGCACGUCGGCGUGCAUCAUCAACGUAAACGUUAGUCUAUGUAAUUCAACAGCAGUUUCAGCUAUUCGAAUGAACUAUUAAACAGCGGCGUAUCGGCACAUCUACGGCAGAUCUAACGUUCUGUAGGCCACAGUAGACACAGUCCCUCAAGAGCAUUCAUAUGUUAAACUAAAUGCAGACGAUCACGCGUAUUAACAGGCCUCAGUUCUGAUCGGUGUGGUAGCGCUCGCUCGGGUUUUUUGAAUUUGGAUCAAGUCUUCUAAGACGUUUCGUGAAAUAUGAAGGACGGACUGAAUUAUAUGUUUCGUUCAGAAUUUCAUUUCGAGAAGCACAUAUUUAAAAUGUACAAAAAAAAAGGAAUAUUCCAUUUCACCAAAACUGAGUGGAGUUUAAGAAGGACGAAGAGCACAGAUCCUCAGUAUCUUCUCCCGUGUGCAUGUUCGAUCCGGAGCUCAUGCCAGACCAAAUAACACUGAAAUAUGGAAAAGUGGGUCAGGGUUAUGCGUGCACCUUUUUAAAUGUAUACUAUGCAAUUUAUUUAUAUUUGAUUUAUCUUAGGCUCCAAUCAUUAGAUGACUGGAGUCACUCAGUACUUUUAGAGUCACGCAAACAAACAAGUGAUUACGGAAAACGAUGACGGUAAAUGACUAUAUUAUUGCUUCCUUAGCUUUAUUUAUUGCUUGGUACUGUAAUGAUGCAAUGUUAGUGAUGCAUUUCAGCUUAAUGAGCUGAGACAAUGGUCAAUUAGCAGCUAGUAAGUUGAUAUAUUGCUUUUCACUGAUUCCCCCAUGGGAGGCCGCCGCAGAAAACUUAAGACACUUCUUUCUGCCCCUCAUGCCUUUGUGUUACAAAUGUUUCUAAUGUCGACUUGUGUGUAUUGUAAAAGUACAAUUUGUAUAAUGUUUGGUUGAAAGGAAGCAUGUCACCCAAAGUGAAUGGGGGUAUUAAGGUUAGUAACAGGUUAGAUUUAGUGCGGCCGUUAGUUGAAAAAAGACCUGAAAUCCCACAAAUGAUCGGUUUUGAGCAAUGAGAGCUUUCGCAGCCGGACAAUUCUGGUGGACGUCAUGAGCGAUGUGAAUGAAUGAGACGGGGCGAGAUCUAGACCACUGAAAUGCGAUACACAACGUUUGGUGGUUAAUACUAUUUUAUGCUGAAAGGCAGCUAUUUACUUACUAUUUAUAAUUUCACUGGUAACCGUAUUAUAAAAGCAAUAAGGUUCGAGGCGGUACUUUAUCUUCAAUAAUGUAACAGUUCGAGGGAUAACAACACCUCCGAACUGUUCCAUUGUUGGACGAUAAAGUACAGCCUCUCGUACCUUAUUGCUUAAAUAACGUCCUGGAAAGUAAAACAUAAUUCUGUCAAAUUGUUGGUCACAUCGAUAUCUUACUUGAACUGUGUCUCUGUGCAGAAUCGUCUGUGUAAGAAUUGCUCUAAAUUCACUCAUUUAUGAGUGGAAACAUUAUUCUUUAUAUUCAUUGUAUGCUCGCCUGCAGACAACCUGACGGUUCUGGGAUGUUCAGCUGACACUGCGGUUAUUUCAGCUUGGCAGUUUGUAAGUAAUGGGAAGAGUAAGAAGAACCUACAAUCAUAGCCAAGUUUCAUUAUUAUUUCCAUGGAAGUAGAUGUCUAACAAUAAAUUCACAAUAAUACAAGUGAAAACCAGCCAAACAUCUAACAAAUAAAGUAUUUGUGUGUAGCAAAGCACUUUUCCCCAGCUUUCCUAUCCCAAUUAUUACUGCGCUAACCUUCAGACUUAUCUUGCAAAUCUCUGAGGGGGUCCCGACCCCCACGUUAGGAAGUGCACACUGUACGUUUAAUUAGAAGUCUGUCAGUUAGCAGUCACUGCCUUUUUCAAAUAUAAGUCUUAUAACACGAGUGUAAUGAAAUUCUGAACAAAGCGUACGAUCGUCAGAAUCAUUUACGAAUGGAAGGUGUAGUUCAACAUGGGUUAACUUUAUGAAUUUGUCAGAGUAGCUGUCACUCAAGUCCUCUCCAUCCGUGGCAAAUAACGGAGCGCUCGGUCGUCUUAAGGUGUUCAUUCUACCGUGUGACAGCCCCUGUGGGUGAGCGGCGCCCGCUCCAAAAGCCCGUCCACACACAGAUCCGGAGCACUGGUGACCUUUAAUUUCAUUCACGCUGUGUACAAAUGACUUCAGCGUAGCCCACUUAGAAAAACAAAAAAGUCUGUGAAAGAAAGUCCUUGCGAGAUUGUAGCUUCUCUGGGUUUCGGCACGCUGGCAUUAUCUACUCGGUAGCUUUAAUGACUUCCUGCCGAGAGGAGAGCCACGGUGGGAGCCUUGGCAGUCAGACUAAGAAUAGCAUUAGACACAAGGUUAUCGGGGCAUUACACUCACUGUAACAUGCAAUUAACUCUAGUCCUCCUGUUUCCAUUAAGCAAUUAUUCAUUAAUGUCAAUUUAAUUUUAUGCAUUGUUCUACAUGACCAAUGCCUGAUUACGGGGCCCUCGCGCGCCAAUAUCCCAAGUUAACUGGUGCCGGCCUCACUUGCAGGGCCGCCUAAUUGCAAUUUAGCCCUAGACAGCACCUCCCUCUUUAGGCCGUCCUUAAUGGAGCAACUGAUCCACAGACAGGUAACGAUUGGAAAGACAAAGUGCCUCUCUCUCUGGAUGGAAAACAAAUGCACUGCUGCUAAGCUGUUUUCUUUGUGAUAGCACGAGGCUCUGCCCUUUGUAUUCAGAGAGGGACAAGAGGUAAUAUGUUUCCUUAAAUCCUAUUUGUCUUCAAAUUCCAUCUCCAUGUAGAAAUAAGCAGAUCCUAUUAAAUCGCAGAGGAAUGUCUACGCGGGAGAAAUGGAAUUCAGAGAGAUAACAAUUUGCAUUUCUCAUGUCAAGAUUAAGGUACCAAAUGCAAGUUGUUCAUUAUGAACUAGCCAAAAGUAUUCUCAAAUGUUCUAAAGAUAUGGGGAGGAACAAACUGGAAUACAUUUAUUCUCAGUUUGACUGUUGGCUGUCUCAGGGAUUCAGUGAGUUUUUUUGGAGUCAGAAAAACAGCCGGAGCAUCUCCUACUAAAGUUCAAGGCUCCUCCAGACUGAUGUAGCAAUGGUAAUACAUUGUAAAAUAUCUCCGAAAAAUGUAAAGAAAACAAACGUGACAUGACAUUUUUAAUCCACCGUGUAGCUGUUCAAACCAGCCCCAAUGCUUACGUUUGCAGGAAUACAAACAGAAGUGCGCUGUUAAGCUAAGCUAGCUGCUAGGCUAAGCUAGCUGCUAUGCUACUUCCAUCUCAACAUCUAACGUUACUUUUCGGUUAAGGCAACACGCUACUUAAAUGUGAAAUUGACUAUGGACUACUGAACACUUAAUGAUGGAACUUAACUGGCGCUGAGUUUAUAUUGCUUCGGAAUUCGCAUUAACCUUAAUUUAUGUGUUUGCAAAUUUAGGUAAAAAUUGUAAGUACAUUUCCCCAAAAAUAUAUAUAUAUCCACAUUACGUAAAAUGAAAUCAGAAGCAAUUAAGCCCGAAUGGAGUCAUUUUUGGACAAUCAGAUCAUCAUGUAAUGAGAUACAAGUGUUGACGACCUAAAUCAAGAAAAUAGAAGAAAGAAAAAAUAUGAGCUAAAGUGUAAGAAAAUGCAUUCAAAAUUCUUUGUCUUUGCUCUUAAAACACAGUGACAGGAAGAACACUCAUAUAAUCAUUUGUUCCAUGUGUUAAUUUACAUACUUUUUGGAUAACAAUCCAUAUCUUUUCUCUCCCUGUGUAGCAGACCAAUGAAUUGAAGAGCUCAUCAUUUAUGUUGGUCUCAGUGUGCCGGAUGUCUCCUGUGCGUCUCUUACCGUGUCCCGCCUCUCACAUCAAGCAGCAUUGCACUGCCCACAGAGACAUGCACGAUAACCUCUCCCCCAUUGGCCAUCUCAGCACGGGUCUGUCACAUGCACGAUAGCACUGCACUCGGGGCAGGGGGGGGGCAAAUAUCUCCCAAAUAUGAUUUGAGAUGAUUGAAAGCUUUUUGAUUUAAAAGUGUAUUCUCUUUAGCUAAGUGCUCCGAGAGACCAUCAAGGAAAUUUAAUUGCCUCACUUAAAGAAAAAAAAAAGCAGGUUUUCUGACCCAAACGAUAUCAGAUCUUAACAUCUCAACAGAAACACAUGGAAUUGGAUGGUCAACUGGCCGCCUAAUGUCAUUGGGAAAUGCAAUUUUCUGAUGGCAUUUCCUAAGUCUGUCUCACCGAAAGAACAAGAUUGAUCAAAAUCUUAAUGAGCCAUUUUCCGAAGUGGACUUUGGCUUUGGCUUAUGGAAGAUUAUGGAGCCAAACAAGCAUGAAUGUUGACCUUAUAAAACCAAACUUUAUCUGUUUGAAAACCAGUCAGCCUGACCGAGGAUUUAUCCGAUUUAUAACGUCAGAGCGGCAGGAGAAAACUUACAAAAAAAUAAACAAAACGUACACUACACAAAGCAUUUCUUUGUGGUUGCUUGACUUCUUUUGUAUAUUCCCCUCCAACAUGCCAAUCCAUCUGAACAGACGCAUUUCACACAUUCUACCCAGCACAGGGGGUCCAGACUGGCCGGCCCCCUGCUAAUAGUCGUGGUCCUAGCUGAUGCCAAGCCGAGGGUGGAUCAUCCCCAACGAAAUGGAGAUACCGUCGGAGGUGAGACUCUAACACACUGCCACAACAAAAAACUCACACAAAAAGGAAAAUCAGUGGGAAUCAAAAGUUUUUUGUACAAACAAGGAACAUAAAGUGCUGUCAUGGGACAUUCGGCUGUUUCCAUCAGACUGGGCAUUUAGGGUGUUUCUACUAAAGGAAAAGGAUGCCACACGUAUCAUGUCCCUUCGAUGGUCCUUUUACCAUGAAAUGUCAAGGCCCUAUGGGUCAGACCACCUCCUUCAUACCAUCUUAUCGCUCAUUGCUGAGGAAAUCAUUUGUUUCCCCAAAUCAAGGAAACCGGUAAACGCCUGCAUGUCUGAUUGAUCGAAAGACGAAGCCCAAAUAUUGCAACUGUGAAAAAAGUGCUUAAUGUAGGACGUGGCUCACAAAUACGUUAUGCAAGGGAUGGUUAUGGCUAAUUGUGCAGCCACUAGUGAAGGAAGGCAGUGAGGUGGAGGAGAAGCAGGCUUUUAGCUCGAUAUUAUGAGAAUCUGUAGGAGUGCUUAUCCACUCCACACUCAGUCCAGUGGCUUUCAAUUUCAUGCCCAGCCUCAAGUGAACACUGUCACACACUAAGAGGACCAUGAAACCGGCCGAUGCAAACGCCUCUUUGCCGAUUGUGAACCUGCCUGACGAGGGUCGGAGGUCAUGCGGGCGGCUUUCGCUCUGAGCUGUGCCAACACACGGUGAGACGCAGCCAGCGUCGCCACGGUGCUCGGCCACAACAGCAACACUUUAAAGCCGCUGACUGCGCUAACUGUGCUAACAGGGCCGGUGGCGAAAACAGCGGCUAGAGAGGUGAUGGUGUUUUGGGUGGGUACAACACCCUCAGUCAGGACGCCGCUGCCCGCUGUUUGAUUGCAGUGGCGGGAGGAGACCAUCAGCCGGCCAUUUGGGACCAACGAAGAGACUCACGUGCACUAAGAAACGCACACACACACACACACACACAGGGAACUAGAGGGUCUUCAUUCUCUUCUCUAGGAGGAGUCAUUACUUCACUUAUAUCACAAGUGGUUGUUGGCUGCUGAAUAAUGCUGGGAGGAUUGUAUAGAGGACCUGUGAUGUCAGCUGUCAUUACUACAUGAAGCCAAUCUAUCUUCUGGUCCCUAUUUAUACAUUAAUGGAGAUGACUGUGCUAUCUGCAAUGAUUACAACCCUUAAAUGAAAGCAGAGGCAUAACGCCAAACAGAACGUCGCAUGUAACAGUAAUAUGUCACAUAAAUAAAGCACAUUAGUUUACAUGUUAGCAGAAGCGCAGCUUGCUAUCAGCGAUGAGCUAAUGAAGAUAUGUCCUGUGAUUAUGAGUGAUGAACACUGUAGGUGUGGGACUGCUCCGGUCUGUACCUUUAUCUGGCGCACACGCGUCCGCUCCUUUUCAACACUGUAGAUAAGCAAACGAACGCGGCGUGAUAACAGUCAACCACCAUGUUGAAAAUGAUCACCUCAUGGCCUCGACCUCAUUCACACUUUCACCCCACGUUUUUCACCCAACAUCAAUAAAGCAUGAUGAAUGUCAUCGUUUGAAUUCAAAUCAUGAAAGGCUCCAUCACUACAACCUCCCGGCUCCCUUUGAAAUAAAAACACACAAGCAGCAGUACGCUCAGUGUGUGCGCCCUGUCAGCAUUCCUGUUGUGGGUUAGCCAAACUUUCAUAUCAAACCGAUGAACCCGAUGCUCGGCUAAUGGUCGUCUCUCAGAGAGGGAGACACCGCUCUCUGCUCUUGGGACGUCCACCCAGUGUUUCUCCCUCGGUAGCAGUGGAAUGUAUGGGAGACACAACAACCAGUGACCUUCCAGCCACCAUAAGCCCACCUCAUGUGAGACGAUAACAGCUCCUCCGCAUGGACGCGGACGCGUCACGAGGCUGCUCUGCAGCUACGCUGAAUACACGAAUUCAAUUAAAAAGUGACAACUGUAACAUCUACAAAGUAAUGUCUUGUGCACUGGUAUUGUGGAGGUUUGACAUUUUGUUGUAAGACUGGUUUGCAAUAAUCAGAAACUCUUUGGUCUGAGCUUUGAUUACAAUAUUAUAUUGAUCUGUGCCUUAUUAUGUUAACAGACGUCUCUGUGGGUGAAGAUAAGUAAGAGUGCAAUGUAGGCGAGCUCAUCAGACUGUCCUUGAGGCUUUGAAAGCAGAUCCAUUUAGAUUGUAUGGCAGAGUAAAAAGAAUAUGGCCUAUAAUAUCUACCACCGCUUUGCAGAUAAUGAUCAAAUGAAGAGGUCUUAGCAAAAUAGCUUGAACCCCAACGCUGAUUAGAUCCAACUGUAGGGUGAGAAAAAACACUGAUUAACUUUAGGAGGAUGUAUCAGACUCAAUCUGGGUUCUGUGAUUUCAUUCGAUUCUGACAAGAAUCGCUGUUCCGUCCCUCAGAUAAUUCAAGAUUCUUUAAAUAAUGAUGGGUUACUUUAAAAGUAUGUGUGCCUGUGUGUUCACCGUAAAUGAUCGACAUUACAUUGAUCCUAAUAAAGCUCACAGAGUAACAACGACACUCUCAAGGUGCCGGACGUUACAUUAAUAUUUAUUUAUAGAACAGAAGGCAAGAAAAGCACCCAUUAAUCUCACUAUUCUUUCUUUCUUUAUCCUUAGUAUUGGUCAACUAAUAUUUAAAUGUCAGUCAGUUGGUAAAAUAUGUUACGCUGGAAUCAUUUUUUUUAUUGAUUUUUUUUCACCUAAAGUGCUUUUCUUUUGUCUAGAAAAGAAAAAGGUCAAAAAGAGGAAAGAAAAAGUGUUAACAUUUCCAUGGCUAUAAUAUGUAGAUUGUGUAUGUAGAUCACAAUAUGGCGCUGCCACUGAUGCUCGAUCUGCUUUCAGAUGAAACAGCACAACAAUUUAAAUAAUUUGUUUGCAUUGACACGCACAGAAACUGGCAGCUUCAUCAUUUCUUGAUGAAUAACACAUUGCAAAGAACAUCUCACAAUUUACUGUUCAUAGAUGGAAAAGCUGACUGACCGUACCGACACCCAACAGCUGAAAUCACAUUAUCACAUAUCACUCUACUCAACACCGACUGCUUUUCACAGAGCGGACAGUGUUGACAUGCCACGUGCCGGUGGACUCCGAGGCCCACCCAGCUGUUUGCUCGCCGCGCAGUAAUGAACUCGCUUGACUCGCUAAAACCGCCGCCCUGCGACAGCGGCGCUCACGGCUGCCUGGGAAAUAAGAUCGACUAUUAGCAGAUGAAACGGCGCUAUCGCUUCCAUCUCGCCUCCAAUCAGGAACUUGUUUGCCUCGGCACAACCCAGAGGAGAGCGCGCGGGGGCCUCGGCUGGUGCCACCAAAUGGCGCCCAGACCGCCAGUGCAAUUAGGCCCCGCGUGGCGCGGGCUGCCAUUACGGAUGAGAAUCAAAUUACCUUCAUUAACCUGCCAAGUUGGCCGAAGGCGUCGCCACCCACUGGUUCUGUCGCCUCCCCCACCACCCAUCUCCCCCCCCCGCCCUCGUGAAGGAAGAUGAAUGACGACCCCAAAGAGGUGCGGCGUGCUGAUGUCCCCGCGGAGUUCUAAUGCAACAUCCCCUCCCAAAAUUUUCUAAUGCAUUCAUGCUCAUGGAAACCAUUUCCGCUGCCUCCACCGCGUGUGUUUUAAUGUUGCAGAGAUGGAACGCGUGGCUUGAAAACAAUAUCGCGCGGUGGGAGGUCAUUAGCCCUCCUGGCUCGACAAAUGGGACGAUACCUAUGUGCCCGCAUGCUCUUGACCGCUGCAUAUGGCGCCUUCAUGAAUAGACAUUGUGCCGCCGCCGCGCCCCCACGACGCUGGAACGCAUUUAUUUAUCACCGUAACUGGGUGCGCGUGAACGGGGGCCGCGGGGGGAUAAAACACGGCUAAAUUGCACCACAAUGACGAAUAAGGAAGAGUGAAUGAAGGCGUGGGAUUAGGGAGGACAUCACAGUCAUUUUUUUCUUCCUCUGGUUUGACCU
Gasterosteus aculeatus aculeatus (three-spined stickleback) is the source of this 22853-nucleotide long non-coding RNA. Lineage: Eukaryota; Metazoa; Chordata; Actinopteri; Perciformes; Gasterosteidae. The record is from Ensembl.